UUAUGGUUCCUUUGAUCGCUCACCCGCUACUUGGAUAACUGUGGCAAUUCUAGAGCUAAUACAUGCAAACGAGCGCUGACCUCCGGGGAUGCGUGCAUUUAUCAGACCUAAAACCCGCGCGGGGCGUCGCCGCGUGGCGGCCCCCGGCCUGUUUGGUGACUCUAGAUAACCUUGGGCCGAUCGCUCGCCCUCGCGGCGGCGACGACUCAUUCGAAUGUCUGCCCUAUCAACUUUCGAUGGUACUCUAUGUGCCUACCAUGGUGACCACGGGUAACGGGGAAUCAGGGUUCGAUUCCGGAGAGGGAGCCUGAGAAAUGGCUACCACAUCCAAGGAAGGCAGCAGGCGCGCAAAUUACCCAUUCACGACUCGUGGAGGUAGUGACGAAAAAUAACAAUACAGGACUCUUUCGAGGCCCUGUAAUUGGAAUGAGUGUACUUUAAAUCCUUUGGCCAGUACCAAUUGGAGGGCAAGUCUGGUGCCAGCAGCCGCGGUAAUUCCAGCUCCAAUAGCGUAUCUUAAAGUUGCUGCAGUUAAAAAGCUCGUAGUUGGAUCUCGGGGCCGGGCUGACGGUCCGCCGAAAGGCGUGCCACCGA
This 594-nucleotide ribosomal RNA is filed under the name Melanogrammus aeglefinus (haddock). RNAcentral's name for it is "SSU rRNA". It matches the Rfam family "Eukaryotic small subunit ribosomal RNA", at positions 110 to 681 of the family's 1831-position model. The record is from RNAcentral. Lineage: Eukaryota; Metazoa; Chordata; Actinopteri; Gadiformes; Gadidae.